Aegilops tauschii subsp. strangulata is the source of this 2219-nucleotide long non-coding RNA. RefSeq lists it as uncharacterized. Lineage: Eukaryota; Viridiplantae; Streptophyta; Magnoliopsida; Poales; Poaceae. The record is from RefSeq and is a predicted model, not a curated record.
CUCCUCACCGCUUAGCCCUUUUCCCUUCAGCUACCACCUACCCAGCUCCCCUGUGCAGCCGCCGGCGCGUCAUGGGGCGCAUCCGCACGGGGCGCGACGGUGCGAGGCGAGGAACCAAUCCCUGGCCCAACCUCCCAUCCCCCCGCCUCCGAACCAUUCUUACGGCCUGGCUGCGCCCUCGCGAGCAUCCCACACCCACUCCCAUCACUCCCUGGUGUCCGGCGAGAUCCGCCGGGCAGGGCUCUCGCGGACGCGCGCGCAGGCUGGGCGGCGGCAUCCACCGCGCAGCGCCCCCUGCCCCGACACGCCGGUCGGAAUCUUCUGCUGGCAACGCCCGGCGACCGGCGCGCGCCGUGCAGCCCGAGGAGACCCUGCAACAAGCCGUGCUCGCCCGGAUGGGCGGAGUACGAGCAGGAGUGGAUUCCGUGGUGCACCACGACGUCGACGGCUUCUCUUCGCCACCGAGCUCUGCUCCCCUCCCUGUGCAUCAGGAUGAAGCUUAAACAGGUACAGGACGGGCAGAUGUCGCGAAAGGAAUACUCAUGGUUUCUGAAGACUGACUAUGCCUGAGUACUACACAGCAACAAACUCAGCUUAAACAGGUACAGGACGGGCAGAUGUCGCGAAAGGAAUACUCAUGGUUUCUGAAGACUGACUAUGCCUGAGUACUACACAGCAACAAACUCAGCAAUGUGCUCGGGGACAGUGUCUUCAGUAUCGAGUCCAAGUGCUAUGUCUGAACCAAUAUUAUGAUCAAUGCUUCUCUCUGUUCCUCGAAGUGAUGCAUGGUGAUCAUAGUAAGUGCCUUCACGAGAAUGAUUUCCUGAAGAACCAUUUUGUUUUAACAAAUGUAUAAAUGCAAACUGAAAAAAAGUCGUGUGUAAGGGCGAUACCGAUUGAUGUUUUCACAUGCGGCACUGGCUGAAAGGCCUUGAGAUUGCCGGCUAUAGGAAUCAUCAUAGGCAGUUGCGUGGGCACAUUGUCAUCAUCAUCGGAAGACGAAACACUGUAGUUAGUAGUGCCUGUUUGUUCGCGUAUGAAAAAAUCAGAUGGUGGUCGGUGUGUAUUGGUGAGUUGUGAUCUGGGUGUCCUCUCAUAUUCGACAACUGAUAAGAUUAAUGUAAGUUAAGUUGUGAAGCUUAUUGAAUACCUUAUGUGCAGACAUGUGAUUGGCAUACACAUACCUUUUUUUCCUUUAUCAUAGAGAUGCUCUCUGUCCUGUGACAUCUUUCUGUCCUAUAGAAGCUUAAAUAAACCUGCAGUAUUUUUGCAUUAAAAAAUUAUAUGAAUUGAAUUAUAAAAUGAUAUGACCUCUGGUGACUCAUUUAACAGGCUUUUUGGACUCACUUGUUCAUUUUCAUAGACAUGUUCUUCGCAUAUGGUUUUAAAAUGAUUGUUAUAUGUUGACGGCUGAAGUUUGUAUAUUUCAGUUUAUAAAGUGCAAGAUUUUGUAGAAGUUCAAAUUUUUUAAAAGAGGGCUCAGACAUGGCGACAAGAAUGAAGGUGGAGGGGAAGGAGUGGAGAGAAAGAUGUCUGUCUCCACAUGGUGCGAAAAAGACAAUCUGGAAUAUAAAGGAUUCUGGAGGAGUCUAGGAUGGCAAACCUAGGGCGUGAUGGGCGAUAUCCGUCCUUUGCCGUCGGAGAGGAAGAAGACGGUAGGCGGGCUCAGGAGAUGACGCAGAAACAGCCGUCGAGCGAGGCGAUCAGCAGAGGCUGCAGCUCCCACAGCUCGCAUUUCUGUUUUGGCGGCGUGCGUUCGCGUGUGGAUGGAGCUCUUACGCCAGGAAGAACUGGCGUCUCGACGCCAGGAGGAAGAACUGGCGUCUCGAUGGAGCUCGUACACCAGGAAGAGUACGCCAGGAAGAACUGGCGUUCGUUGGCGGGGGGAAGAAGUUUGGUCGAUGGACCUCGUCCUCGUUCGUGGGUUGCGGGGGCGAUCGUGGGGUUCCAUGGACUUCGUUCGUGUGUAGAAUACGUGGGCUGAGUUGGUGUAUUUUUGUUUUGUUUGCGGGCGGUGAGUUGGUGAUUUUUCGUACGUGGGCUGAGUUGGUGGGCUGCUGCGUGCGUGCGGCAGUUCGGGCGACGAAGGGAGGGGGUAUCGAUCGAGGUCGAACCAUCACGAAACGUUCGAUCCCCCUUUAAUAGUAGAGAUAAAUCGAAGAAACUACUUCAACACCUGAUCCAGAGUGGUAUAAUUGCUUAUCUUUUUGCACAGGGAA